CUAUUACUACUAUUACUGCUACUGCUACGACUACAGAAAACCCAAUAAUAUAAUAUAAAUCCAUGUUCAUUAUCUAACAAUCUAAGGAGUUCCUUAAAACCCAAUAAGAGACAUCGCAAAUAUAAUACAAGAAGAUAAGAGUACUAGCUCAUAGUCAUACUGCAAAUAAAAUUAUGAAAGAGUAGUUUCUAAUGAGUUUUACCCUCACUCUUGUUCUUUAAUUGAAAUGGGUGGUAA
This 237-nucleotide unclassified non-coding RNA is filed under the name Hevea brasiliensis (rubber tree). Lineage: Eukaryota; Viridiplantae; Streptophyta; Magnoliopsida; Malpighiales; Euphorbiaceae. The record is from RNAcentral.